UACGAAGGGGGCUAGCGUUGCUCGGAAUCACUGGGCGUAAAGCGCACGUAGGCGGCUUUCUAAGUCAGGGGUGAAAUCCUGGAGCUCAACUCCAGAACUGCCUUUGAUACUGGGAAGCUUGAGUCCGGAAGAGGUGAGUGGAACUGCGAGUGUAGAGGUGAAAUUCGUAGAUAUUCGCAAGAACACCAGUGGCGAAGGCGGCUCACUGAUCCGGUACUGACGCUGAGGUGCGAAAGCGUGGGGAGCAAACAGG
This 253-nucleotide ribosomal RNA is filed under the name uncultured bacterium. RNAcentral describes it as "partial 16S ribosomal RNA". It matches the Rfam family "Bacterial small subunit ribosomal RNA", at positions 524 to 776 of the family's 1533-position model. The record is from RNAcentral.